This 343-nucleotide long non-coding RNA is filed under the name Gossypium raimondii (Peruvian cotton). RNAcentral describes it as "long non-coding RNA (GRAI_LNC006620)". Lineage: Eukaryota; Viridiplantae; Streptophyta; Magnoliopsida; Malvales; Malvaceae. The record is from RNAcentral.
ACAGGCCCAUUUUGACCUAACCCAUUUCAGCCCAACCUACCUAAGCCCAAUUACAAGGCGGACCCAAUAGCCCCAGACCUACUACCCAACUCACCACAAACCCAAUGGCCCAGGCCCAAAAUAACCCUAGCCCAAACCCAAAACAGAAAGAAAACAAAAAAUUUUCAAACCCUAGGCGCCGUACCUAGGGCCUUCUACCGCCGCACCUAGCCCACUUGCCCUGCCACCGCCGCCUCUAACCAGCACCGCUAUGGUCACGUCGCCGGAUCACCACUUGCGCCUGCAAAAUCAGAAAAGAAGCGACAUAAAGCAAGAAAAAAUGAAUAAAAAAAUAUGUAAAAAA